CAGACACCUGUGUUAUGACAUUGUAGGCUCUAAAUUUACUCUUGAGAAAGAUUUCUAAUUACUUCUUUAAUUCACAGCUUGUCGUGUGUCUUCAGAGGUGUUCAAGCUGAGCCUGAAUGACUGAGGUUGCCUCAUCUACCCUACAGGAACUCUGACAGAGACCCCUGGACCCAGGCUUCAUGGAAUCUCUGCUGGAGCUCUGAGUGUUCUACUCCUGACAGCAUCAGCCAAAGGAAGGAAGGGACACCUGACCGUCACAGAGCCACUUUCUAGUCCUGUGCUAAAAUGGGUGAAUCCUUCUCUCCUUGGUUCAGCAGCCACAGCAGUAAAAGAAUAUGGUUCUCCAUGCCCACCAACUAAAGGAGGCAAGAAUGACACACAUACAAAAGGUCCGAAGAAUGAAGAGGAUGAUAAUGGCUGUUGACUAAGGAGGAGGAUAGAGAACAUGGAAACACUCCUGCAGUGGUGUGCAAACUAC
This is a long non-coding RNA of Vombatus ursinus (common wombat), 478 nucleotides long. RefSeq lists it as uncharacterized. The transcript has 3 exons. NCBI's taxonomy places the organism in Eukaryota, Metazoa, Chordata, Mammalia, Diprotodontia, Vombatidae. The record is from RefSeq and is a predicted model, not a curated record.